Carassius gibelio (silver crucian carp) is the source of this 647-nucleotide long non-coding RNA. RefSeq lists it as uncharacterized. The transcript has 3 exons. The record is from RefSeq and is a predicted model, not a curated record. NCBI's taxonomy places the organism in Eukaryota, Metazoa, Chordata, Actinopteri, Cypriniformes, Cyprinidae.
CACCUCAACAUUUCAGCUUAAUCAUAGAGGAAGUGACUUUUAACACAGUUUUUUUUUUACUGUGCUUCAAAGCAAUUAGGGUGAGACCUCAUUGUUGCUGCCAGAUGAUGCUGGUUAGUACUGAGUCUACUUAGGAUAAGUUUCAUUUUGGGAAGAUAUGACAGCAAAAGAGAUCUGUGAUUAUUUUGGCUACUGGCCUCGCUACUUCUUGUUCUGUGUCUGGGUCAUCGACAUCGCCAUGAUAUUUUUGGUUUAUCACUUGGAAACAUGUUUGAAAGAAAUAACAGAAAAAUUCCAAAGGGACAAACGUCAAGAAGAGGACUAUAUCAACUACAGGACGAGUGGAUUUAUGUGAGAGCAAACCAGCUGAAGCAAUCAUUGAACAAUUAAUGUAAAAUUACUUGCAUACAAAUAUAGCAGUACAAAGAAAGAACUGAAUUCAUGUAAUGGAGCAUCUUAAUAUAGACCUAUUUCAUUCAAAUGCAUAAUUUUUGUGUGGAAAUCUGAGGAAAUUUAAAAUAAGUACUGACGAAUCAUUACUUUUUUUUUCUUGCAGUCUUAACAUUUGUAUGCUUUUGAGUCCUAAAUGUCCCCAACACUUGGAAUUUCAUCAAUGUGUUGCAAUAAAAGAUGCAUUUUGACCAGGG